RNAcentral lists this ribosomal RNA (253 nucleotides) under uncultured bacterium. RNAcentral describes it as "partial 16S ribosomal RNA". It matches the Rfam family "Bacterial small subunit ribosomal RNA", at positions 524 to 776 of the family's 1533-position model. The record is from RNAcentral.
UACGGAGGGUGCAAGCGUUAUCCGGAUUCACUGGGCUUAAAGGGUGUGUAGGCGGAUAUUUAAGUCAGUGGUGAAACCUCAAGGCUCAACCUUGAAACUGCCAUUGAUACUAUUUAUCUUGAAUAUCGUUGAGGUAGGCGGAAUAUAUCAUGUAGCGGUGAAAUGCUUAGAUAUGAUAUAGAACACCGAUUGCGAAGGCAGCUUGCUAAACGAUUAUUGACGCUGAGGCACGAAAGCGUGGGGAUCAAACAGG